Triticum aestivum (bread wheat) is the source of this 135-nucleotide non-coding RNA. NCBI's taxonomy places the organism in Eukaryota, Viridiplantae, Streptophyta, Magnoliopsida, Poales, Poaceae. The record is from Rfam.
GUAGUAUUCCCUCCGUCCCAAAAUUCUUGUCUUACAUUUGUUUAGAUACGGAUGUAUCUAACACUAAAAUGUAAUUGGAUACAUCCGUAUUUAGACAAAUUUAAGACAAGAAUUUUGGGACGGAGGGAGUACAAA